AUUUGAUUCAGAUCGGGACUCCGCUUUUGACGGCUGCUGGCGGACGUUCGGAGGACAUUCGUCUGAGACAGUUUGCGUGGAAAGUUAAAUCGGAAGUUAAAGUGGAGACGUUAAAUCACGCUACAAAACGGGAUGUUUGUGGUGCAGAGCAGUAAAUGUCGAGAUGAUGUAUCAAGUGUUAUACAGCUCGUGGGACAGGCGUACUACUCUGGCUGUGACAUCAUCAUCCUGGGGAGGGACUUUGAGAGGAUUCAGAUCAUCCCAGGAGCCAAACACGGGAACAUCCAGAUUAUUGCUGAUGUGAGGAAGCAGUGAUGAAUCCGCUGUUUAGUGAUCAUGCUCUCUGCCCUUUAACCUCUCAAAUCUGAAUAUAUACGCCAAUUAAUCUAAUUUUAUAUCGAGUAUGAAGAGAUCUGUAAUAUACUUGAAUGUCAUGUAAUG
Molecule: long non-coding RNA, 441 nt
Organism: Carassius auratus (goldfish)
Lineage: Eukaryota; Metazoa; Chordata; Actinopteri; Cypriniformes; Cyprinidae
Exons: 4
Source: RefSeq, a predicted model, not a curated record